This 77-nucleotide transfer RNA is filed under the name Candidatus Dadabacteria bacterium. RNAcentral's name for it is "tRNA-Met". It matches the Rfam family "tRNA". Rfam says of the family: Transfer RNA (tRNA) molecules are approximately 80 nucleotides in length. Their secondary structure includes four short double-helical elements and three loops (D, anti-codon, and T loops). The record is from RNAcentral. RNAcentral also lists the same sequence under 2 other names. Lineage: Bacteria; Pseudomonadati; Thermodesulfobacteriota; Candidatus Dadabacteria.
CGCGGGGUGGAGCAGCUUGGUAGCUCGUCGGGCUCAUAACCCGAAGGUCGCGGGUUCAAAUCCCGCCCCCGCUACCA